CAGCGGAGGGAUCAUUACCGAGUUUACAACUCCCAAACCCCUGUGAACAUACCAUUUGUUGCCUCGGCGGUGCCUGCUUCGGCAGCCCGCCAGAGGACCCAAACCCUUGAUUUUAUACAGUAUCUUCUGAGUAAAUGAUUAAAUAAAUCAAAACUUUCAACAACGGAUCUCUUGGUUCUGGCAUCGAUGAAGAACGCAGCGAAAUGCGAUAAGUAAUGUGAAUUGCAGAAUUCAGUGAAUCAUCGAAUCUUUGAACGCACAUUGCGCCCGCCAGUAUUCUGGCGGGCAUGCCUGUUCGAGCGUCAUUUCAACCCUCAAGCCCCCGGGCUUGGUGUUGGAGAUCGGCGUGCCCCCCGGGGCGCGCCGCCUCCCAAAUAUAGUGGCGGUCUCGCUGUAGCUUCCUCUGCGUAGUAGCACACCUCGCACUGGAAAACAGCGUGGCCACGCCGUUAAACCCCCCACUUCUGAAAGGUUGACCUCGGAUCAGGUAGGAAUACCCGCUGAACUUAAGCAUAUCAAUAA
This 522-nucleotide ribosomal RNA is filed under the name uncultured Nectriaceae. Its description in RNAcentral is "eukaryotic LSU rRNA". The stretch from base 152 to 305 matches the Rfam family "5.8S ribosomal RNA". The record is from RNAcentral. Lineage: Eukaryota; Fungi; Ascomycota; Sordariomycetes; Hypocreales; Nectriaceae.